Molecule: ribosomal RNA, 468 nt
Filed under: uncultured bacterium
Lineage: Bacteria
Description: partial 16S ribosomal RNA
Rfam family: Bacterial small subunit ribosomal RNA
Source: RNAcentral
GACGAACGCUGGCGGCGCGCUUAACACAUGCGAGUCGAACGGAAAGGCCCUGCUUUUGUGGGGUGCUCGAGUGGCGAACGGGUGAGUAACACGUGAGUAACCUGCCCUUGACUUUGGGAUAACUUCAGGAAACUGGGGCUAAUACCGGAUAGGAGCUCCUGCUGCAUGGUGGGGGUUGGAAAGUUUCGGCGGUUGGUGAUGGACUCGCGGCUUAUCAGCUUGUUGGUGGGGUAGUGGCUUACCAAGGCUUUGACGGGUAGCCGGCCUGAGAGGGUGACCGGCCACAUUGGGACUGAGAUACGGCCCAGACUCCUACGGGAGGCAGCAGUGGGGAAUAUUGCACAAUGGGCGGAAGCCUGAUGCAGCAACGCCGCGUGCGGGAUGACGGCCUUCGGGUUGUAAACCGCUUUCGCCUGUGACGAAGCGUGAGUGACGGUAAUGGGUAAAGAAGCACCGGCUAACUACGUG